AAAUUGAAGAGUUUGAUCAUGGCUCAGAUUGAACGCUGGCGGCAGGCCUAACACAUGCAAGUCGAGCGGUAGCACAGAAGAGCUUGCUCUUUGGGUGACGAGCGGCGGACGGGUGAGUAAUGUCUGGGAAGCUGCCUGAUGGAGGGGGAUAACUACUGGAAACGGUAGCUAAUACCGCAUAACCUCGCAAGAGCAAAGAGGGGGACCUUCGGGCCUCUCGCCAUCAGAUGUGCCCAGAUGGGAUUAGCUAGUAGGUGAGGUAAUGGCUCACCUAGGCGACGAUCCCUAGCUGGUCUGAGAGGAUGACCAGCCACACUGGAACUGAGACACGGUCCAGACUCCUACGGGAGGCAGCAGUGGGGAAUAUUGCACAAUGGGCACAAGCCUGAUGCAGCCAUGCCGCGUGUGUGAAGAAGGCCUUCGGGUUGUAAAGCACUUUCAGCGGGGAGGAAGGCAGUAAGGUUAAUAACCUUGCUGAUUGACGUUACCCGCAGAAGAGCACCGGCUAACUCCGUGCCAGCAGCCGCGGUAAUACGGAGGGUGCAAGCGUUAAUCGGAAUGACUGGGCGUAAAGCGCACGCAGCGGUCUGUUAAGUUGGAUGUG
This 604-nucleotide ribosomal RNA is filed under the name Pectobacterium brasiliense ICMP 19477. RNAcentral describes it as "bacterial SSU rRNA". It matches the Rfam family "Bacterial small subunit ribosomal RNA", at positions 1 to 596 of the family's 1533-position model. The record is from RNAcentral. Lineage: Bacteria; Pseudomonadati; Pseudomonadota; Gammaproteobacteria; Enterobacterales; Pectobacteriaceae.